RNAcentral lists this ribosomal RNA (225 nucleotides) under Photobacterium kishitanii. RNAcentral describes it as "partial 16S ribosomal RNA". It matches the Rfam family "Bacterial small subunit ribosomal RNA", at positions 1 to 218 of the family's 1533-position model. Lineage: Bacteria; Pseudomonadati; Pseudomonadota; Gammaproteobacteria; Vibrionales; Vibrionaceae. The record is from RNAcentral.
ACUUUAAUUGAAGAGUUUGAUCAUGGCUCAGAUUGAACGCUGGCGGCAGGCCUAACACAUGCAAGUCGAGCGGUAACAGAAAAGAAGCUUGCUUCUUUUGCUGACGAGCGGCGGACGGGUGAGUAAUGCCUGGGAAUAUACCCUGAUGUGGGGGAUAACUAUUGGAAACGAUAGCUAAUACCGCAUAAUCUCUUCGGAGCAAAGAGGGGGACCUUCGGGCCUCUC